This 108-nucleotide small nuclear RNA is filed under the name Microcebus murinus (gray mouse lemur). Lineage: Eukaryota; Metazoa; Chordata; Mammalia; Primates; Cheirogaleidae. The record is from RNAcentral.
AUCCUUGCUCGGUUCGGCAGGGUAUAUAGGAAAAUCGGAACGAUACAGCUAUUCGCCCGGCCCCUGUGCGAGGAUGAUACACAAAUUCUUGAAGCAUUCCAUACGUGU